CGGAACGGGUGAGUAACGCGUGAGUAACCUGCCCUGGGAGGUGGGGGACAACAGUUGGAAACGACUGCUAAUACCGCAUAAGCCCACGGAUCCGCAUGGAUCUGCGGGAAAAGGAUUUAUUCGCUUCAGGAUGGACUCGCGUCCAAUUAGCUAGUUGGUGAGGUAACGGCCCACCAAGGCGACGAUUGGUAGCCGGACUGAGAGGUUGAACGGCCACAUUGGGACUGAGACACGGCCCAG
Molecule: ribosomal RNA, 240 nt
Filed under: uncultured bacterium
Lineage: Bacteria
Description: partial 16S ribosomal RNA
Rfam family: Bacterial small subunit ribosomal RNA
Source: RNAcentral